This is a long non-coding RNA of Pyrus x bretschneideri (Chinese white pear), 1165 nucleotides long. RefSeq lists it as uncharacterized. NCBI's taxonomy places the organism in Eukaryota, Viridiplantae, Streptophyta, Magnoliopsida, Rosales, Rosaceae. The record is from RefSeq and is a predicted model, not a curated record. The transcript is spliced from 3 exons.
AAACUUGAAACGGUCUCUCUCUCUUUCUCUCUCUAGCUCUCUGAGAUCUUCGCCUAAAAUUCUCAACUCGCAUUCUUGCUGUGAUUCGAUUCAAUGGAAGGUACUCUCCUGAGUGUCCUCUCUCUCUCUCUCUCUCUCUCUCUCUCUCAUCAAUUAUUUCUUGUUUUUUAUUUGAUUUCUUGUUAAAUCGUGGAGCGAGCGGUGUCAAAUGGUGGAAAUAUUCCCCCAAAACUGCAAAGACUUUGUUCCAAAUCACGACUGCAAGCUCUCUUCGACCCUUGAAGCAGAGUCAAAACUUAAAACCCUAGAGCGAUUACAACCCAGUUGGACAGUUACGUGAGCGACGAAGAAUGUACUCCAGAUAUUGCCACCAAACUCGUCAAGUGAGAUUCUGAUUUGAUUGGUGAGAGCAGCACGUGGAACGGAACUCAACAAGGUUCUCCAUGUCAGAUGGUCCUUCCAGUUUUCCAGGAGAUCACUGAUUUGACUACCAAACUUCAGGUAAUUCUUUGUUCUAGCAUUGUAUUUUGUUAACGUCGCUUUGAGGAAAGCUCAGAAAGUGAUUGGAAGCAUUUGUAUGUUCUUUCUGUUUUGAAUCUUUCGACAAAUUCCCUAAACGUUUUUGGUUUUGUUCUCAUGCUUUAGGAUUUGAAGAGAGAGCAUAAUGCCUCGUCUGAUGAAGUCAAGCUCACCACGAAUUUCUUUCCGGACCCUGCAGUUCUAAACACCAUUCAGCUGCUAAGUGAGCCUUUUGUUUUAAUCACUCACAAUUAUUUUCUAACUUUCCUUCUCUCUUUGCUUCAUCGGAAUUGCCCUGGUAUGGUUUCUGAAAACUCACUUUAUAACUGCUGUUUGCUGUGACUGUGCUUAGAAACAUGCAUAGGAGUUAACUGCUAGACAAACAAGAUUAGGAAUGAUUUUAGAGACCUAGCAAUUCAAUGAAAGACUAGGAACCCAUAUCUGCUUGUCUGCUUUGACUGUCCUCUGAGUGAAAUUCGAUUGCUUUGAACUGCUUAAAUUUUCUGCAAAAUGAUACUCUUAGAACUGCUGUGGUUGAUUGAUGUCAAUGAAUGAAUCUGCUGCUGGAUGCAAGAUCCAGUUUUUUCUUUAUUUGCCUUGCACGUCUUAGAUGAAAUAGGGCCGCUUUGUAAUUCUUGAUUGCAAC